RNAcentral lists this ribosomal RNA (468 nucleotides) under uncultured bacterium. Its description in RNAcentral is "partial 16S ribosomal RNA". It matches the Rfam family "Bacterial small subunit ribosomal RNA", at positions 28 to 507 of the family's 1533-position model. The record is from RNAcentral.
GACGAACGCUGGCGGCGUGCUUAACACAUGCAAGUCGAACGGAAAGGCCCUGCUUUUGUGGGGUGCUCGAGUGGCGAACGGGUGAGUAACACGUGAGUAACCUGCCCUUGACUUUGGGAUAACUUCAGGAAACUGGGGCUAAUACCGGAUAGGAGCUCCUGCUGCAUGGGGGGGGUUGGAAAGUUUCGGCGGUUGGGGAUGGACUCGCGGCUUAUCAGCUUGUUGGUGGGGUAGUGGCUUACCAAGGCUUUGGCGGGUAGCCGGCCUGAGAGGGUGACCGGCCACCUUGGGACUGAGCUACGGCCCGGACUCCUACGGGAGACAGCAGUGGGGAAUAUUGCACGAUGGGCGGAAGCCUGAUGCAGCAACGCCGCGUGCGGGAUGACGGCCUUCGGGUUGUAAGCCGCUUUCGCCUGUGACGAAGCGUGAGUGACGGUAAUGGGUAAAGAAGCACCGGCUAACUACGUG